CUCUGCAGGACUCAGACCCGUCAGUCCACCACAACCACCAUGACUCUCAUCACCCUCCUCAUCUGGACGCUGGCCUGCUGCAGCUUCACAGGAUGCAGCGGGGAAAUGACUGUGACUCAGCCUCCGGUCGUGACAUUUACUCCAGGAUCCACUGUCAGUCUGACCUGUAACACCAACCCCAGUGUUUAUAGUAAUUGGGUGUCCUGGUACCAGCAGAAACCUGGACAAACUCCCAAGCUUCUUAUAUACUCUAUAUCAAGUCUUCAUUCAGGAACUCCCCCUCGAUUCAGUGGCAGUGGCAGUAACUCUGGUUCUAGUUUCACCUUAACCAUCAGCGUUGUUCAGGCUGAAGAUUUUGGAGAUUAUUACUGUGCCGGUGGUGAUAGUAGCUAUCGGUUCACACAGUGA
Non-coding RNA from Limanda limanda (common dab), 408 nucleotides. The record is from the annotation of a RefSeq genome assembly. NCBI's taxonomy places the organism in Eukaryota, Metazoa, Chordata, Actinopteri, Pleuronectiformes, Pleuronectidae.